Molecule: ribosomal RNA, 363 nt
Filed under: Triticum aestivum (bread wheat)
Lineage: Eukaryota; Viridiplantae; Streptophyta; Magnoliopsida; Poales; Poaceae
Description: partial small subunit ribosomal RNA
Source: RNAcentral
AUGGCGGUCGAACGACCCAUCGCUCUCGUCCCUCGCCACCUGCAACCCCGCCUUCUUCGCCUCCAUUUGGCGCGCAUUCGGGCCUUGGUCGCCGAAGAUGGGCAGCAUGACGAGAGGGUGACCGAACAGGAGCCCUUCGAUCAGCGAGUUCCGGCCGCAGUGCGUCAGGAACCCGCCCACGGCCGCGUGCGCCAGGAUGCUCAUCUGAGGAACCCACCCCGUGGUCACCAGCCCCUGGCCGCGAGUGCGCUCUUGGAAAUCCGGAGGAAGCAUGUCGGCGCCGUCGUCCAGGACGGCGGCUCCACUGGGCUUCCGGAGAGCCCAGAGGAAGCGUGUCCCGGCGAGCUCCAGCCCGAGGGCUAG